RNAcentral lists this ribosomal RNA (405 nucleotides) under uncultured bacterium. RNAcentral's name for it is "partial 16S ribosomal RNA". It matches the Rfam family "Bacterial small subunit ribosomal RNA", at positions 28 to 526 of the family's 1533-position model. The record is from RNAcentral.
GAUGAACGCUGGCGGCGUGCCUAAUACAUGCAAGUCGAGCGAGGCGGGGACGGGUGAGUACUACGUGGCUACCUUCCUAUAAGACUGGGAUAACUUAGGGAACCCUGAGCUAAACCCGAUCCUUAUUGAUGGAUCCUCGUUGCAUUAGCUAGUUGGUAAGGUAACGGCUUACCAAGGCAACGCUGCAUAGCCGGCCUGAGAGGGUGAUCGGCCACACUGGAACUGAGACACGGUCCAGACUCCUACGGGAGGCAGCAGUAGGGAAUCUUCCGCAAUGGGCGAAAGCCUGACGGAGCAACGCCGCGUGAGUGAUGAAGGUCUUCGGAUCGUAAAACACUGUUAUUAGGGAAGCGGUACCUAAUCAGAAAGCCACGGCUAACUACGUGCCAGCAGCCGCGGUAAUUC